RNAcentral lists this ribosomal RNA (253 nucleotides) under uncultured bacterium. RNAcentral describes it as "partial 16S ribosomal RNA". It matches the Rfam family "Bacterial small subunit ribosomal RNA", at positions 524 to 776 of the family's 1533-position model. The record is from RNAcentral.
UACGGAGGGAGCUAGCGUUGUUCGGAAUUACUGGGCGUAAAGCGUGCGCAGGCGGUUUUGUAAGACAGGCGUGAAAUCCCCGAGCUCAACUUGGGAAUGGCGCUUGUGACUGCAAGGCUAGAGUAUGUCAGAGGGGGGUAGAAUUCCACGUGUAGCAGUGAAAUGCGUAGAGAUGUGGAGGAAUACCGAUGGCGAAGGCAGCCCCCUGGGACGUCACUGACGCUCAUGCACGAAAGCGUGGGGAGCAAACAGG